GGUUAAGCGACUAAGCGUACACGGUGGAUGCCUAGGCAGUCAGAGGCGAUGAAGGGCGUGCUAAUCUGCGAAAAGCGUCGGUAAGGUGAUAUGAACCGUUACAACCGACGAUACCCGAAUGGGGAAACCCAGUGCAAUUCGUUGCACUAUUGCAUGGUGAAUACAUAGCCAUGCAAGGCGAACCGGGGGAACUGAAACAUCUAAGUACCCCGAGGAAAAGAAAUCAACCGAGAUUCCCCCAGUAGCGGCGAGCGAACGGGGAGGAGCCCAGAACCUGAAUCAGCAUAUGUGUUAGUGGAAGCGUCUGGAAAGUCGCACGGUACAGGGUGAUAGUCCCGUACACAAAAAUGCAUAUGUUGUGAGUUCGAUGAGUAGGGCGGGACACGUGACAUCCUGUCUGAAUAUGGGGGGACCAUCCUCCAAGGCUAAAUACUCCUGACUGACCGAUAGUGAACCAGUACCGUGAGGGAAAGGCGAAAAGAACCCCGGCGAGGGGAGUGAAAUAGAACCUGAAACCGUGUACGUACAAGCAGUGGGAGCACCUUCGUGGUGUGACUGCGUACCUUUUGUAUAAUGGGUCAGCGACUUAUAUUUUGUAGCAAGGUUAACCGAAUAGGGGAGCCGUAGGGAAACCGAGUCUUAACUGGGCGAAUAGUUGCAAGGUAUAGACCCGAAACCCGGUGAUCUAGCCAUGGGCAGGUUGAAGGUUGGGUAACACUAACUGGAGGACCGAACCGACUAAUGUUGAAAAAUUAGCGGAUGACUUGUGGCUGGGGGUGAAAGGCCAAUCAAACCGGGAGAUAGCUGGUUCUCCCCGAAAGCUAUUUAGGUAGCGCCUCGUGAACUCAUCUUCGGGGGUAGAGCACUGUUUCGGCUAGGGGGUCAUCCCGACUUACCAAACCGAUGCAAACUCCGAAUACCGAAGAAUGUUAUCACGGGAGACACACGGCGGGUGCUAACGUCCGUCGUGAAGAGGGAAACAACCCAGACCGCCAGCUAAGGUCCCAAAGUCAUGGUUAAGUGGGAAACGAUGUGGGAAGGCAUAGACAGCCAGGAUGUUGGCUUAGAAGCAGCCAUCAUUUAAAGAAAGCGUAAUAGCUCACUGGUCGAGUCGGCCUGCGCGGAAGAUGUAACGGGGCUAAACCAUGCACCGAAGCUGCGGCAGCGACACUUAGGUGUUGUUGGGUAGGGGAGCGUUCUGUAAGCCGUUGAAGGUGACCUGUGAGGGUUGCUGGAGGUAUCAGAAGUGCGAAUGCUGACAUAAGUAACGAUAAUGCGGGUGAAAAACCCGCACGCCGGAAGACCAAGGGUUCCUGUCCAACGUUAAUCGGGGCAGGGUGAGUCGACCCCUAAGGCGAGGCUGAAAAGCGUAGUCGAUGGGAAACAGGUUAAUAUUCCUGUACUUGGUGUUACUGCGAAGGGGGGACGGAGAAGGCUAGGCUAGCCGGGCGACGGUUGUCCC
Molecule: ribosomal RNA, 1462 nt
Filed under: Yersinia enterocolitica
Lineage: Bacteria; Pseudomonadati; Pseudomonadota; Gammaproteobacteria; Enterobacterales; Yersiniaceae
Description: partial 23S ribosomal RNA
Rfam family: Bacterial large subunit ribosomal RNA
Source: RNAcentral